GAUGAACGCUGGCGGCGUGCUUAACACAUGCAAGUCGAACGGAAAGGCUCCUGCUUGCAGGGGUACUCGAGUGGCGAACGGGUGAGUAACACGUGGGUGAUCUGCCCUGCACUUCGGGAUAAGCCUGGGAAACUGGGGCUAAUACCGGAUAGGAGGAUGGUCUGGAUGCCGUGGUGGAGAGUUUUUCGGUGGGGGAUGAGCUCGCGGCCUAUCAGCUUGUUGGUGGGGUAGUGGCCUACCAAGGCGUCGACGGGUAGCCGGCCUGAGAGGGUGUACGGCCACAUUGGGACUGAGAUACGGCCCAGACUCCUACGGGAGGCAGCAGUGGGGAAUAUUGCACAAUGGGCGGAAGCCUGAUGCAGCGACGCCGCGUGGGGGAUGACGGCCUUCGGGUUGUAAACUCCUUUCGUCAGUGACGAAGCGAAAGUGACGGUACCUGGAUAAGAAGCACCGGCUAACUACGUG
This 465-nucleotide ribosomal RNA is filed under the name uncultured bacterium. Its description in RNAcentral is "partial 16S ribosomal RNA". It matches the Rfam family "Bacterial small subunit ribosomal RNA", at positions 28 to 507 of the family's 1533-position model. The record is from RNAcentral.